GUCACCAGUCAUCCCCUCACUCUAGUGACAGAGUGAGGGAGGGUGUGACUAGUGACAGAGUGAGGGGGUGAUUAGUGACAGAGUGAGGGAGGGGUGACUAGUGACAGGGGGGUGACUAGUGACAGGGGGGUGACUAGUGACAGAAUGAGGGAGUGGGUGACUAGUGACAGAGAGAGGGAGAUGGUGACUGUCACUAGUCACCCCAUCCCUCCCUCUAUCACUAGUCACUCCCUCCCUAACUGUCACUAGUCAUCCCCUCACUCUGUCACUGUGUCACCCCAUCCCUCACUCUGUCACUAGUCACCCUCUCCCUCACUCUGUCACUAGAGUGAGUGGGUGACCA
Molecule: non-coding RNA, 343 nt
Organism: Pelobates cultripes (western spadefoot toad)
Lineage: Eukaryota; Metazoa; Chordata; Amphibia; Anura; Pelobatidae
Source: the annotation of a GenBank genome assembly